GAUGAACGCUGGCGGCGUGCCUAAUACAUGCAAGUCGAGCGAAAAGACGCGGCGCUUGCUCCGCGGACGUUAGCCGAACACGGGAGUAAAACACGUGGAUACCGUCCCUAUAAGAGUGGGAUAACUUCGGGAAACGGGAGCAAAUCCCGUAUAAUAUCUUGAACCGCGUGGUUCGAUGGUGAAUUUCGGUGUUUCUGGCUCUUAUCGAGGGUUCCGCGCCGCAUUAGCUAGUUGGUAAGGUAACGGCUUACCAAGGCGACGAUGCGUAGCCGACCUGAGAGGGUGAUCGGCCGCACUGGAACUGAGACAGGGACCAGAGUCCUACGGGACGCCGCAGUAUGGAAUCUGCCGCAAUGGGCGAAAGUUUGACGGAGCAACGGCGCGUGAGUGAUGAAGGUCUUCGGAGCGUAAUACUCGGUUAUUAGGUAAGAACAAAUGUGGAAGUAACUAUGCCCGUCUUGACGGUAACUAAUCAGGAAGCCACGGCUAACUACGUG
RNAcentral lists this ribosomal RNA (497 nucleotides) under uncultured bacterium. Its description in RNAcentral is "partial 16S ribosomal RNA". It matches the Rfam family "Bacterial small subunit ribosomal RNA", at positions 28 to 507 of the family's 1533-position model. The record is from RNAcentral.